Homo sapiens (human) is the source of this 1501-nucleotide RNA transcript. It is a transcript of the gene named PMS1 homolog 2, mismatch repair system component pseudogene 3, with no coding region annotated. NCBI's taxonomy places the organism in Eukaryota, Metazoa, Chordata, Mammalia, Primates, Hominidae. The record is from RefSeq and is marked validated. The transcript is spliced from 9 exons.
GCACUGCCCUCGCUUCCUGUGAGUCUUCAGGUCGCCGCUUGCUCUCGUUCCUAGGGUUUGGCCUGCAGUGGACGAGCAUCGCAUAGCCUGCGGGGCUGGAUGCUGACCGCCCGGGCCAGCACCUAGGCGGACGCGGAGCUGUGCAGACCAGGGUUCGCGCGGGCCGGGUGGAGGCUCAAGCGGGGACCCCGGAGCGUGAGCCCCGGAGUCGGCGGCGCUGGGGCCAGAGGGGCCGGGAGGGAGUCGGCUGAGGUGGCGGCGGAGGCGAAGUGGCGGCGGAGGCGAAGGGGCGGCGGGACCCGGGCCUGGCCCGUAUGUGUCCUUGGCGGCCUAGACUAGGCCGUCGCUGUAUGGUGAGCCCCAGGGAGGCGGAUCUGGGCCCCCAGAAGGACACCCGCCUGGAUUUGCCCCGUAGGCCCGGCCCGGGCCCCUCGGGAGCAGAACAGCCUUGGUGAGGUGGACAGGAGGGGACCUCGCGAGCAGACGCGCGCGCCAGCGACAGCAGCCCCGCCCCGGCCUCUCGGGAGCCGGGGGGCAGAGGCUGCGGAGCCCCAGGAGGGUCUAUCAGCCACAGUCUCUGCAUGUUUCCAAGAGCAACAGGAAAUGAACACAUUGCAGGGGCCAGUGUCAUUCAAAGAUGUGGCUGUGGAUUUCACCCAGGAGGAGUGGCGGCAACUGGACCCUGAUGAGAAGAUAGCAUACGGGGAUGUGAUGUUGGAGAACUACAGCCAUCUAGUUUCUGUGGGGUAUGAUUAUCACCAAGCCAAACAUCAUCAUGGAGUGGAGGUGAAGGAAGUGGAGCAGGGAGAGGAGCCGUGGAUAAUGGAAGGUGAAUUUCCAUGUCAACAUAGUCCAGUACAGAACCUGCUAAGGCCAUCAAACCUAUUGAUCGGAAGUCAGUCCAUCAGAUUUGCUCUGGGCCAGUGGUACUGAGUCUAAGCACUGCAGUGAAGGAGUUAGUAGAAAACAGUCUGGAUGCUGGUGCCACUAAUAUUGAUCUAAAGCUUAAGGACUAUGGAGUGGAUCUCAUUGAAGUUUCAGACAAUGGAUGUGGGGUAGAAGAAGAAAACUUUGAAGGCUUAAUCUCUUUCAGCUCUGAAACAUCACACAUGUAAGAUUCAAGAGUUUGCCGACCUAACUGAAGUUGAAACUUUCGGUUUUCAGGGGGAAGCUCUGAGCUCACUGUGUGCACUGAGCGAUGUCACCAUUUCUACCUGCCACGCGUCGGUGAAGGUUGGGACUCGACUGGUGUUUGAUCACGAUGGGAAAAUCAUCCAGGAAACCCCCUACCCCCACCCCAGAGGGACCACAGUCAGCGUGAAGCAGUUAUUUUCUACGCUACCUGUGCGCCAUAAGGAAUUUCAAAGGAAUAUUAAGAAGACGUGCCUGCUUCCCCUUCGCCUUCUGCCGUGAUUGUCAGUUUCCUGAGGCCUCCCCAGCCAUGCUUCCUGUACAGCCUGCAGAACUGUGAGUCAAUUAAACCUCUUUUCUUCAUAAAUUA